Molecule: small nuclear RNA, 291 nt
Filed under: Castor canadensis (American beaver)
Lineage: Eukaryota; Metazoa; Chordata; Mammalia; Rodentia; Castoridae
Description: 7SK RNA (ENSCCNG00000015819.1)
Rfam family: 7SK RNA
About the family: 7SK was discovered as an abundant small nuclear RNA in the mid-70s but a possible function has only recently been suggested. Two independent studies have found that 7SK RNA binds the CDK9/cyclin T complex (known as elongation factor P-TEFb).
Source: Rfam by way of RNAcentral
GGAUGUGAGGGUGCUCUGUCUGGCAAGGCAGGUGUCGUCCCCUUCCUCCUUCACUGUUCUGUGUGCAUCCCUCCCGAAGCUGCAUGCUCUCUCGGUGAAAGAGGAUUACCUUCCCUGAUAGAGAAGGACUGAUCUUCAGUCAAGGGUAUACAAGUAGCUGUGCUCCCCUACUCAAACCUCCAAACAAGCUCUCAAGAAAAUGAAAACUUCUAAAAGCCUUCAGAGGAAAAAGAGGUACCGACAAAGGAAUAAGAAUUUAUCUGGUAUUUAAGAACUCAAGAGCACCACCAU